Molecule: transfer RNA, 85 nt
Filed under: Chitinophaga costaii
Lineage: Bacteria; Pseudomonadati; Bacteroidota; Chitinophagia; Chitinophagales; Chitinophagaceae
Rfam family: tRNA
About the family: Transfer RNA (tRNA) molecules are approximately 80 nucleotides in length. Their secondary structure includes four short double-helical elements and three loops (D, anti-codon, and T loops).
Source: Rfam by way of RNAcentral
ACCCGGGUGGUGGAAUCGGUAGACACGCGGGAUUUAAAUCGCGUUCGCAGCAAUGCGCGUGUGGGUUCAACUCUCAUCCUGGGUA